RNAcentral lists this transfer RNA (66 nucleotides) under Compsilura concinnata. RNAcentral describes it as "tRNA-Asn". The record is from RNAcentral. Lineage: Eukaryota; Metazoa; Arthropoda; Insecta; Diptera; Tachinidae.
UUAAUUGAAGCCAAAAAGAGGCUUAUCAUUGUUAAUGAUAUCAAUGAAUUUUAUAUUCCAUUUAAA